This 429-nucleotide ribosomal RNA is filed under the name Bacteroidota bacterium. RNAcentral's name for it is "Bacteroidetes bacterium partial 16S ribosomal RNA". It matches the Rfam family "Bacterial small subunit ribosomal RNA", at positions 355 to 776 of the family's 1533-position model. Lineage: Bacteria; Pseudomonadati; Bacteroidota. The record is from RNAcentral.
UAGGGAAUCUUCCGCAAUGGACGCAAGUCUGACGGAGCAACGCAGCGUGAGUGAAGAAGGAUUUCGGUUCGUAAAACUCUGUUGUUAGAGAAGAACAGCGCAUAGAGUAACUGUUAUGCGUGUGACGGUAUCUAACCAGAAAGCCACGGCUAACUACGUGCCAGCAGCCGCGGUAAUACGUAGGUGGCAAGCGUUGUCCGGAUUUAUUGGGCGUAAAGCGAGCGCAGGCGGUCAAUUAAGUCUGAUGUGAAAGCCCCCGGCUCAACCGGGGAGGGUCAUUGGAAACUGGUUGACUUGAGUGCAGAAGAGGGGAGUGGAGUUCCAUGUGUAGCGGUGAAGUGCGUAGAUAUAUGGAGGAACACCAGUGGCGAAGGCGACUCUCUGGUCUGUAACUGACGCUGAGGCUCGAAAGCGUGGGUAGCAAACAGG